Molecule: ribosomal RNA, 479 nt
Filed under: uncultured bacterium
Lineage: Bacteria
Description: bacterial SSU rRNA
Rfam family: Bacterial small subunit ribosomal RNA
Source: RNAcentral
UAAAGCACUUUUAGUGGGGACAAAAAGCUACGGAUUAAUACUCUGUGGUCUUGAUUUAACCCAAAGAAAAAGCACCGGCUAACUCUGUGCCAGCAGCCGCGGUAAUACAGAGGGUGCGAGCGUUAAUCGGAAUUACUGGGCGUAAAGCGCGCGUAGACGGUUUUGUAAGUCAGAUGUGAAAUCCCUGGGCUCAACCUGGGAACUGCAUUUGAGACUGCAUGGCUAGAGUAUCGAAGAGGGAAGUGGAAUUUCCGGUGUAGCGGUGAAAUGCGUAGAUAUCGGAAGGAACACCAGUGGCGAAAGCGACUUCCUGGUCGAAUACUGACGUUCAUGUGCGAAAGCGUGGGGAGCAAACAGGAUUAGAUACCCUGGUAGUCCACGCCAUAAACGAUGACAACUAGAUGUUGGGAGGGUCUGCCUCUCGGUGUCGCAGCUAACGCGUUAAGUUGUCCGCCUGGGGAGUACGGCCGCAAGGUUGA